UGGCUCACCAAGGCGACGAUCCGUAACUGGUCUGAGAGGAUGAUCAGUCACACUGGAACUGAGACACGGUCCAGACUCCUACGGGAGGCAGCAGUGGGGAAUAUUGGACAAUGGGCGAAAGCCUGAUCCAGCCAUGCCGCGUGUGUGAAGAAGGUCUUCGGAUUGUAAAGCACUUUAAGUUGGGAGGAAGGGCAUUAACCUAAUACGUUAGUGUUUUGACGUUACCGACAGAAUAAGCACCGGCUAACUCUGUGCCAGCAGCCGCGGUAAUACAGAGGGUGCAAGCGUUAAUCGGAAUUACUGGGCGUAAAGCGCGCGUAGGUGGUUUGUUAAGUUGGAUGUGAAAUCCCCGGGCUCAACCUGGGAACUGCAUUCAAAACUGACUGACUAGAGUAUGGUAGAGGGUGGUGGAAUUUUCCUGUG
RNAcentral lists this ribosomal RNA (423 nucleotides) under Pseudomonas sp. BSB1-2-37. RNAcentral describes it as "bacterial SSU rRNA". It matches the Rfam family "Bacterial small subunit ribosomal RNA", at positions 261 to 675 of the family's 1533-position model. Lineage: Bacteria; Pseudomonadati; Pseudomonadota; Gammaproteobacteria; Pseudomonadales; Pseudomonadaceae. The record is from RNAcentral.